UUGAAACUGAGAGCUGGUUGGUGCCAGAACUUGAGGGAGACGGUGCCGUCAUUCCAGGCGACUCAGCCAAAGAUGGUGAAGAUGUUGGUGACUCGUCUGAAGAUGGCGAUGUUGGUGACUCGUCUGAAGAUGGUGAAGUCAUAGGUGUUCCAGCUGAUGGUGAAACUGCAUUCAUAUUAUCAAUCAUAUAUUAUACUUCUUAGCAUAAAUAUGAUCUACACAAAACAAAAAGCUGAGAAGGGAACUUACAUUUUUCACAAAAAAAUAAAUAAAUCAAUAUAGUUAUAAAUGUAAGCCUAAACUGAUUGAUGCAAAUGCAAUAUAAGUGAAAAAUGAAAACUGUGGUAUAUAAAAAUAUCAUGGAAUCUGAAUAGAUUAAUUGCAUUUGCUGGGAAAAUCUAACUACUAAACUAACUAACAAUACGCAAAUAACGUUCUAGCCUAAUAUGUAAAUUAUCUUUCAUUUCAUUUUUGUUUUCCUUUCUUCCCCAAAUUCAGUUUUGAUUACGAGUAUAAUAGAAGAAAAUAUAUCAUUUAUUAUAACAUAUUAAUAGAAGAAAAUAUAUCAUUUAUUAUAACAUAUCAAAAAUGUAGUUUACGUUUUAGUUAUUGCAAAUGCAAUACAAAUACUUGACAAUUAUAAUUCUAGUGACCCUCAAUGAAACAUGAAAUAUAUUUGUUACCAGAAAAUUUAAUAAAUAUACUAAAAACAAAACUGUAACUAAUAGAUUUUUAAUCAAACUGGAUAGAAUAUUAAAAAAAAAAGCUUCAAUCUUAAGUAUAAAACACAAUAAUUUAGUUAUCUAAGAAAAAAAAUGAAAAAUACUUAAUGAGUACUCGGAGACAUACCAGGAGUAGAUGCACCCGGUGCUGACGCGCCCGGUAUAGCUACACCAGCAAGAAAAAAUUAACUUCAUAACAUUGAAAACAAUACGCAAAAAACUAGGAAUGAGACACAUAAAAACUCACCACAAUGGGGAGCAGCAAUGGGGAGCUUGCAAGUCGUGGGCAUGGAAUGAGCUCUAGUGCUAUUAAUUUCAAUCCCCAUAUCUUUGGUACUCGCUAAGCCGACGCAAACACACUUAGGAUUAUAUUGUAAAACAGAUAGUAUUCCCCCACAACACACUUUCGUGGGACUGGUAUCAUUUGAUCCGGGGGUUAUGUACGAUAGACAAUCCAUCAUGUCAUAUAUUACGCUCGAGCAAUCAGAAUUUGACGGUCCUGGCGCCGGAGUUGCUACCGGUGAGGGAGACAUUGCGGAAUGUGAUUUGUUGCGGGCGUGGAUGGGAGCAAAUGAUGGUGAUAGUAGUACCAAGAUAGAAAGACAUAGAUAUUGCUUCAUUAUUGAUAUACUGUUUCUUUAAAAGUGCUUAUCACUAUUAUUUCUGUUGUUAGAUUUGUUUCAUGAUAAGAGAAGAGGAGGUUUAUAUAUAGAAAGUAAACUCGGAAAAUAAAAGGAUAGGAAUUUAUGAGUUUGUUUUUCUUGUUUUUAGGAUUUGAAUCCGGUUCCUGUUCCUUAUAUUUUGGGAGUUUAAAAAUCGAGUUUUUCUUGGGUUCACCUCCUAGGGUGGUUCACCAUCCACUAAUAAGUUGCCAGCUCAUAUCUAGUUUUUCAUAAAAAAAAGAAGGUAAAAUAUAAUUAGAAAUAUAAUUAUUAACUUAAAAAAAAGGAAAACGAAAAAAAGGAAACAAAAAAAAAAACAGAACACGGCGGCUUCUAACUUGUUUUGAUUUUCAAAUUAGUUUUUCAGUCUUAAAUUUAAGAAUCUAUCCUGUUAAUUUAAAUUCUUGCUUUUAUCUAAUGAUAAAAAUGUUACUAAAGUUCUAAAUGGUCCAAUAAAAUAUUUAUUCUAUUAAAACAGAGUCACAAAAAAUGUUAAUAUGACUUAUUCGAUUAUAUACAUUAAUAAAUUAAGUAUACAAUAUUUCUAUAAAAUACGAAUCAAUUAAAUAUACAAUAUUUCUAGAAAAUCUUAAUAAUUUAUAGAGGUACUAAUAAUAAAUAAAUUUUAUUUAGCUUAUAGAAAAUUAUGUGGAGAAAAAAUAUAACAAAAUCUUAUUUAAUAUUUUAAAUAUUAUUUUUAUUAGAUAAUAAAUCAAUUAAUUUCUUAAUUACUUAUAUAAAUAUAUUAUAAAUAAUGUUGAUUAUUAUUUUAUUAUAAACGAAAAGUAAAAAUUAAAUGCAAUUUAUAAAACAGUUUUAUGGCUUUUAUAUUUAUAGUUCAUAUAUUAUAUUUAAAUAGAAGUACUGUAUGAACUAAAUAUGAAAAAGUUAUAUUAAAUUGGUAAAUUAAUUUAUUUUAUUAUUAAAAGUAUUUUUAUUUAGAAAGUGAGACAACUAUAUAAUAUAUUUUGAUAACAGGAUGCAUGUUUCAUACAAAUAAUCAAAGAGAAGAUAACAGAGAUGUGUGUUUCACACGUUAACCCCUCGAUAUUAUACUUUCUUUUUGUUGAUGAUAACAUUUUUUUUUGUAAAGCAGAGCACCAUAAAUAUAAAUAAAUUAUGAAAAUAAUUAAAAAAAUAUAGAAAAAUUUCAGGUCAAUGCAUCGAUUUUGAUAAAUAAUCAUUACUAUUCAGGUUGGGUUGAGACAGGAAAACGAAUUGGCGAUGGAAAACAGUCAUAUGUAACUAAAAUCUAUCAUUUCCAUCAUAUUUUGUUGGUUUGGUAAAAACGAGGAAAAGUAUGAGGUAGAUAUAGACAGCUUCACAAGAAGAAGAAUUUAACUAUACUCUUCUCGGUGACAUAUAUCAAUAUAUGUGUGAUAAGACUGGUUAUAAAUACCAUUAAUUUUUAAUUAAGGUGAUGAUUGUUUUGUUAGAUUUUAGAUUUUGGUUUUUGGAUUUUGAUUUUUGGUUUUUAGUUUUUGGUUUUCAGUUUUUGGUUUUUGAUUUUGCAGUAGAUUUUGGUUUUUUGAAAAACUUGAUUGGUGGUUUUUGAUUUUGGUUUUUAGUUUCUGUUUUUUGCUUUUAAAACAAAAUAAAUUUUAAAUAUUAUGAAUAGUAAAAUAUCUAUUAUUGAAAAAAAACAAUACUAUCAUCAAAGCAUACAUAAUUUUUAAAAAAUAUAUUUUAAAAUAAAAAAUAACAUUAUCAUUGUAAAAUAAAAUUAAAAUAGUUACAUUUUAAAAAAUGGUAAAAAUAAAUAUUUAUGUUAUUCAAAUAUUUUAACAUAAAAACUAUUAGUUUUUAAAUAAAAAAAUAUUAUGUAAUAAAUGUAUAAUAACUAUAACUAACAAAUUUAAUUAACUUAAUGUAAAAUUUAUAGUAUAAAUUAUUAAUGUUUCCCAAGAUGUAAUACAUGUGCUAACAAUGUGUUUACACAUUUACAAAUCAAUGAAAUAAUAUACUUCAAUAGCCUUUUUCUUAUCUUUGGAUCUCCCAUAUGCAAUAUUAAACUCCAAUGGCUUUCUUCUCAUCUUAAUAAAAAAGAAUGUUGGUAGCCUCAUAUUGAUACAACAUUUUAAGAAGCAUUUUAACCCUUCUUCCAACUCAUAACAAUAAUCAUCAUUGGUGUUUAUAACAAUAAUACUUAAGAGAUGGAAACAAACAAUAGUAACUAGUCAAAGCAUAUAACAUUUUUUACAAGUUUGUGUUGAAAAACUUAGUCAAAUUUAGUAAAACUAAGGGAGAAAACAUAUUUUGAAAAUAUGAGUUUUACAUAUCUUGAAGUUAUUUAUCACUCUUAAAUAUACAAGUUAUUCAAACACUAGCGUAGAAGACUUCUACGGAAGUCUUCUCGGAUCAGUUAGAAACUUUAAUUAACGUGAAUGUUGGUAACUUCAUAAAUAUCACCAAUUAAGUUAUAAAUUUUAUUCAGUAGCCCUAAUAUUGACUAAUAUACAUGAAUUAACAAAAAAAUAUUAAAAAGUCUUUAUAAGUUUAGAGAAAAUGAAAGUUUAUUAAACAUUGACGCAGACGACUUCCACGGAGGUCGUCUGAGUCGUCCAUUUAGGUUAGUUUUGCAAUUGAUUUUUAACCUAGACGAUUUACAUGUUAGUCGUCCACCUUUGUUUGUAAGUCGUUUAGGGAAAACGGGUUAGUUUUGCAUUUGACCGGAAUGUGUCAGAAAUUUGACUUUUCCUGGACGACUUACAAGUUAGUCUUCCAGUAGAAAAUUAAAAAAAAAAUAUAUUUUUUUUUUCCUAGAUGACUAACUUGUAAGUCGUUCCAGGUUAGUUUUGCAAUUGAAUUAUUAAACAAAAAAAUUGUUUUUUCUAGACGACUUACACGUUAGUCGUCUCGAGUUUUUUUCCUAGACGACUAACAUGUAAGUCGUCCAAGAUAAGCAAGGUUUGACCAGAAUCACGGAAUAAAAUCCUGGACGACUUAGAUGUAAGUCGUCGAACGGACGACUUCCGUGUAAGUCGUCUAGAAAAAAAUUCUUAUUUGUUUAAUAUUUCAAUUGCAAAACUAACCUGAGAUGAGGAAAAGUCAAAAUUUUAACACAUUCUGGUCAAAUGCAAAACUAACCCGUUUUCCCUAGACGGUCUCGAUUUUUUUUCUAUCAAACAAAGGUGGACGACUAACCUGUAAGUCUAGAAAAAAUAAAUUAAAAGUUAAUUGCAAAAAUAACCUCUACAUUGACCAGACGACUUCCAGGUAAGUUGUCUACAGCCAGAAAACUUACCUGUAAGUCGUCUGGACGAACAUAUCUGGAAAAAAUCUCAAUUUCAUAGUUUCAACCAGUCAGAUAACUUGUUUAGCACAUAUAAGUCUUUUCCAAACACCCAGAAUCUCAAACAAAAGUGACCCACCAAGAAUCACAAGCUUCAAUGGAUUUAUGAACCAUAAAAAUUUUAGAAUCAAAAUCUUGGGAUUUUUUUGGAUGAAUAUGGAGAGAAAGUGAAAGAAAUGUUGUUUUUAGUUGAUAAGAAUUGAGAAAAAGAAGUGUAAAUCGAUUUGAGGUGCAUUAAGAGCUUCAAAUUGGUUGUUCAUGGUGGUUGAUGUAUUGAUGGUAAUGACAUUCUUGUAAAUACAUGAAGAUGAUGAGGUUGAGAGAGUAAAAAUGUAAUUUCGAAAAAAGAAAAAAAACUAAUGGCAUUUCGUAAAUAAUGUGAACUUGUGGGGUGAAUAGGACAAAAGAAAAAAAAACAUAGGUUAGUUUUGUGGUUGACUUCAUGUUUUGAGUCAAUUUUGUAAAAACCCCUAUUUUCAAUGGUGAAACGUGCUUAAUUGACCUUUAAAACCUCAUUAAUCCCUUAAACAUUAUUUGCAAAAUGAUUUGCAUAUGUGGCAUAUCUACAUUCAUUUUCGACAAGAAAAAAUGACAUGUCUUUUGAAAAUUAUGACAUGACAUCAAUCUAAUUAUAACAUGUAUAAUUUUUCGUAUAAAACUUUAUAUUUUCUGGAAAUGUUUUUAAUUUAUGGUCAUGAUUAAUAACUCUUAUAUCAUCAUUAAUGUAAACUUUUUGUAUAAAUAUUUUUAAGGCAAGACUAUAGAAAUGUAUUAUUAACUGAUAACUCAUAUAUCACAAUUUCUCUAAACAUUAUUUGCGAAUUUAUUUGAAUAUAUGUCAUCACCACAUUAAAUCUCAACAAGUAAAGAUGACAUGAAUUUUGAAAAAUGUGACAGCCCAUCAAUCUAAUUAUAAAAUUUACAAUUUCCAUAUAAAACUUUAUAUUUUUGCAAUGUUUUAAAAUAUGGUAAUGAUUAAUAAAUCUUAUAUCGUCAUUAGUGUAAACUUUUCUACAAAUAUUUUUAGCAAAAAAAUUGAAGUAUAUUAAUAACUGAUAACUCAUAUAUCAUCUUUAAAGUAAUAUAUAUAGCAAGUUAAUAAAAAAGAAAAUAAGUAGUGACAAAUAUAUAUAUAUAUAUAUAUAUAUAUAUAUCAAUUAAUAUAUCAUAUUUUGUUUAAAUUUGUAUGUAUAUAUUAUUAAAAUUAAUUGUAAGUGUAACGUUAACAAAUAAAAAACUAAAGAAACACUCAUCAAAAAAAAUUUGUUGAUAAUUAAAUGAUAAAAUGUUAUUUAAAUUUAUAUAUUAUUAAUUUACAUAUUUAUUUUAAUGUAUUUGAACUAUAACAAAAAGGCAGAAUUUAUUAAUAUUUAUAUAUUUAAAUAAAUACAUAUUUAAAACUAAAGAAUAAGAGAAAUAUUUAGAAUAAAUAAUCAUUAAAUAUAAUAUAAUAUUAACAAAUUAUUUUAUAAAAUAUAAUUUUAACUUUACUAAAAUUUAAACAAAAUUAAACUGAAAUAGUUAAACCUAAUUAAAAGAAACAGGACUACAAAAAAAUAAAUUGAAGAUUUAUUCUAAACCGAUUGAGUUAGAAUAUAAAAUAAUAAUAUAAGUAAAUUUUAAAAUAAAAUAAAAUUGUAUGAUAUUUAAAAUUAUUAUUUCUGCUCAUGGAAAACUCCUAGUACAUUUAACAUUACAGCGAACAUCGAUUUGUAGAAAUAAGGAUCCAUCAUAUAACUUUAUCCCCUCACAAAUCCCUAAAUUCCUAUCUUAAUCUCCAAAUUCUCUAUUCAAAAUAGUCUAUUUAUCUACCUCUCAAUCUAAGACAAUGAAGGUCCACAAGACUAAACUAAGAACGUUGUGGCGUAAUACUGAUUUGGGGUUAUAUCAAGUGGAUUUUAUUUUAGAGAAAUCAAGCACAAAUCCAAUAUCUAUUGAGUUGGGAAAUUUGAAAUUUCCAUUUCUUGAUAUCGUGUUUGGUUUGGCACACGAACAACUUGAGAUAAAGAAGUUGAUUCUUGAGCUAUAGAGAAAAGGUAUCUUGUAUAUUCAUAACAGUGGCAUUUGAUGUAACAGAGAUUUUGUUUGAAUAAAAUUUUACAUUCGUUCAAAAAAAAAGAAAUUUGAAAUUUCAGGAUAUUGUGCAGUUGUACACAUAUUUGAUUUUCUUGAGAAAGCAGGACACAAAAUUCAAGCAUAUAAAAAAUUUGAUUAACCAAGAACAUCAAAUUAAAACAGCAUCAGUCAUGAAAUCUCAACAAUAAAAUGUCAAACGCAGUAAAAAUAUAUAUGAGAUGUGAAAAAUACAAUUAAUUAGAAAAAACCCAAAAUGUAUGUUAUAGAAGACACGAUAAUGGCAAAGAGGGUCAGUGUUGAAACUGAGAGCUGGUUGGUGCCAGAACUUGAGGGAGACGGUGCCGUCAUUCCAGGCGACUCAGCCAAAGAUGGUGAAGAUGUUGGUGACUCGUCUGAAGAUGGCGAUGUUGGUGACUCGUCUGAAGAUGGUGAAGUCAUAGGUGUUCCAGCUGAUGGUGAAACUGCAUUCAUAUUAUCAAUCAUAUAUUAUACUUCUUAGCAUAAAUAUGAUCUACACAAAACAAAAAGCUGAGAAGGGAACUUACAUUUUUCACAAAAAAAUAAAUAAAUCAAUAUAGUUAUAAAUGUAAGCCUAAACUGAUUGAUGCAAAUGCAAUAUAAGUGAAAAAUGAAAACUGUGGUAUAUAAAAAUAUCAUGGAAUCUGAAUAGAUUAAUUGCAUUUGCUGGGAAAAUCUAACUACUAAACUAACUAACAAUACGCAAAUAACGUUCUAGCCUAAUAUGUAAAUUAUCUUUCAUUUCAUUUUUGUUUUCC
RNAcentral lists this long non-coding RNA (7528 nucleotides) under Brassica napus (rape). Its description in RNAcentral is "long non-coding RNA (BNAP_LNC013209)". Lineage: Eukaryota; Viridiplantae; Streptophyta; Magnoliopsida; Brassicales; Brassicaceae. The record is from RNAcentral.